UACAGGGGGGGCAAGCGUUGUUCGGAAUUACUGGGCGUAAAGGGCUCGUAGGUGGCCAACUAAGUCAGACGUGAAAUCCCUCGGCUUAACCGGGGAACUGCGUCUGAUACUGGAUGGCUUGAAUCCGGAGAGGGAUGCGGAAUUCCAGGUGUAGCGGUGAAAUGCGUAGAUAUCUGGAGGAACACCGGUGGCGAAGGCGGCAUCCUGGACCGGCAUUGACGCUGAGGAGCGAAAGCCAGGGGAGCAAACGGG
This 252-nucleotide ribosomal RNA is filed under the name uncultured bacterium. RNAcentral's name for it is "partial 16S ribosomal RNA". It matches the Rfam family "Bacterial small subunit ribosomal RNA", at positions 524 to 776 of the family's 1533-position model. The record is from RNAcentral.